Schistosoma haematobium is the source of this 46-nucleotide non-coding RNA. The record is from Rfam. Lineage: Eukaryota; Metazoa; Platyhelminthes; Trematoda; Strigeidida; Schistosomatidae.
UUCUCACUGACGAGUCCUAAAUAGGACAAAACGUGCGUCCUGAAAU